UAAAGGAUUCCGGUAAAGGAUGGGGAUGCGUUCCAUUAGGUUGUUGGUGAGGUAACGGCUCACCAAGCCUUCGAUGGAUAGGGGUUCUGAGAGGAAGGUCCCCCACAUUGGAACUGAGACACGGUCCAAACUCCUACGGGAGGCAGCAGUGAGGGAUAUUGGUCAAUGGGCGCUAGCCUGAACCAGCCAAGUAGCGUGAAGGAUGAAGGCUCUAUGGGUCGUAAACUUCUUUUAUAUAAGAAUAAAGUGCAGUAUGUAUACUGUUUUGUAUGUAUUAUAUGAAUAAGGAUCGGCUAACUCCGUGCCAGCAGCCGCGGUAAUACGGAGGAUCCGAGCGUUAUCCGGAUUUAUUGGGUUUAAAGGGAGCGUAGGUGGACUGGUAAGUCAGUUGUGAAAGUUUGCGGCUCAACCGUAAAAUUGCAGUUGAUACUGUCAGUCUUGAGUACAGUAGAGGUGGGCGGAAUUCGUGGUGUAGCGGUGAAAUGCUUAGAUAUCACGAAGAACUCCGAUUGCGAAGGCAGCUCACUGGACUGCAACUGACACUGAUGCUCGAAAGUGUGGGUAUCAAACAGGAUUAGAUACCCUGGUAGUCCACACAGUAAACGAUGAAUACUCGCUGUUUGCGAUAUAC
RNAcentral lists this ribosomal RNA (631 nucleotides) under uncultured bacterium. RNAcentral's name for it is "bacterial SSU rRNA". It matches the Rfam family "Bacterial small subunit ribosomal RNA", at positions 202 to 834 of the family's 1533-position model. The record is from RNAcentral.